AUUGAACGCUGGCGGCGUGCUUAACACAUGCAAGUCGUGCGGUAACAGGCGUAGCAAUACGUGCUGACGAGCGGCGAACGGGUGCGUAAUACAUGGGAAUCUGCCCUUUAGUGGGGAAUAACCCGGCGAAAGCCGGGCUAAUGCCGCAUAAGAUCUUCGGAUGAAAGCGGGGAGUCGUAAGACCUCGCGCUGAUGGAUGAGCCCACUGUCGGAUUAGCAGUUGGUGAGGUAACGGCUCACCAAGGCGACGAUCCGUAGCUGGUCUGAGAGGACGGCCAGCCACACUGGGACUGAGACACGGCCCAGACUCCUACGGGAGGCAGCAGUGGGGAAUAAUUGGACAAUGGGCGAAAGACCUGAUCCGG
Molecule: ribosomal RNA, 365 nt
Filed under: uncultured bacterium
Lineage: Bacteria
Description: bacterial SSU rRNA
Rfam family: Bacterial small subunit ribosomal RNA
Source: RNAcentral